UACGGAGGGUGCAAGCGUUAUCCGGAUUCACUGGGUUUAAAGGGUGCGUAGGUGGGCUGGUAAGUCCGUGGUGAAAUCUCCGAGCUUAACUCGGAAACUGCCGUGGAUACUAUUAGUCUUGAAUACUGUGGAGGUAAGCGGAAUAUGUCAUGUAGCGGUGAAAUGCUUAGAUAUGACAUAGAACACCGAUAGCGAAGGCAGCUUGCUACACAGUCAUUGACACUGAGGCACGAAAGCGUGGGGAUCAAACAGG
RNAcentral lists this ribosomal RNA (253 nucleotides) under uncultured bacterium. RNAcentral describes it as "partial 16S ribosomal RNA". It matches the Rfam family "Bacterial small subunit ribosomal RNA", at positions 524 to 776 of the family's 1533-position model. The record is from RNAcentral.